UUGGAUAUAGCUCAAUGGUAGAGCGCAGCCUUAGAUGCUGUUGUCGCGGGUUCGACUCCCGCUAUCCACU
RNAcentral lists this transfer RNA (70 nucleotides) under Lysobacter enzymogenes. Its description in RNAcentral is "tRNA-Leu". It matches the Rfam family "tRNA". From Rfam's summary of the family: Transfer RNA (tRNA) molecules are approximately 80 nucleotides in length. Their secondary structure includes four short double-helical elements and three loops (D, anti-codon, and T loops). Further hydrogen bonds mediate the characteristic L-shaped molecular structure. tRNAs have two regions of fundamental functional importance: the anti-codon, which is responsible for specific mRNA codon recognition, and the 3' end, to which the tRNAs corresponding amino acid is attached (by aminoacyl-tRNA synthetases). tRNAs cope with the degeneracy of the genetic code in two manners: having more than one tRNA (with a specific anti-codon) for a particular amino acid; and 'wobble' base-pairing, i.e. permitting non-standard base-pairing at the 3rd anti-codon position. Lineage: Bacteria; Pseudomonadati; Pseudomonadota; Gammaproteobacteria; Lysobacterales; Lysobacteraceae. The record is from RNAcentral.